UCCCUCUGUCGGCACGGUGGCUUUUCUGUGACAUUUAGAAAUAUGUGAUGCUCCCUUGUUUUAAGUGAAAUCAAGUGACUGGGCAGUGUCGGAUGUGGGCGAGAGAACACAAAUCAAACGUGUCAAGCGUUGUACGAGUCUAGGAUCCACAUCCCAGAUGAUCCAUGAUCGGUAUCCAACAACAAGGGGCAUUAACUGUACUGAAGUAAUAACCGAUCUGCUGAUCAAUACAGACAAACGUGAACUGGUCUUGAGUGUUACUGGCGUUCGCGUUACAGGAAUACAUAAACUGCGUCAUCAUGGCACUGAACAUCCCUGGACUCAUCUCCGUCAUCGUGUUCUACGUCCUCAUCCUCGUCAUCGGCAUCAUCGCCGCCAGGAAGAGCAGAAACAGUAACGCCGAAGACUCAUUCGUGGCCAAUAGAAGCAUCGGGCUGUGGCUGUCGUUCUUUACACUUAC
This 460-nucleotide long non-coding RNA is filed under the name Haliotis rubra (blacklip abalone). Its description in RNAcentral is "uncharacterized LOC124290251, transcript variant X2". The record is from RNAcentral. Lineage: Eukaryota; Metazoa; Mollusca; Gastropoda; Lepetellida; Haliotidae.